This 74-nucleotide transfer RNA is filed under the name Paeonia ostii. Its description in RNAcentral is "tRNA-Asp". Lineage: Eukaryota; Viridiplantae; Streptophyta; Magnoliopsida; Saxifragales; Paeoniaceae. The record is from RNAcentral.
CGGGACUGACGGGGCUCGAACCCCCAACUUCCCCCUUGACAGGGCGGUGCUCUGACCAAUUGAACUACAAUCCC